RNAcentral lists this long non-coding RNA (3263 nucleotides) under Homo sapiens (human). Its description in RNAcentral is "HSALNT0203310". The record is from RNAcentral. Lineage: Eukaryota; Metazoa; Chordata; Mammalia; Primates; Hominidae.
CCACCUCUCUAGAAUAAAAACGUUUGCAUCUCCCAAUUAAUAGGCCUGCUCAGAGGAAACAGCUUACUCCUGUGGAAGACCUCAAGCACAUAGUCAAGACACUGCCUCCAGGAGAUAGCAAUAAAGACUCUCAUCGGCUAUCCUCGUCUUAAAUUUUUGGCUCUGUUUGUUUAAUCUACUGGUAAAAGAUGUGUCUUCUAGACUAGACCAAUAUCAUGUCAAGUUAAUGGUCGUUAAGUUUUUGAGCCUGUUCCAGAGACCACCAGCCCGGAGCAAUAUUGGCCCCUUCACCAAGCUGGGAGAGACGUCUACUCCUGCAAACAGAUGAGGGAACUACUCCCAUGCUUAAUAAGAAAUAGCUUCAGAAGAAGAAAUCUUUACCCAGGACCCCUUAAAAAUAAGGAGUAUACAGUCUCUCAAGGGAGAAUGAGACAGCAAGCUAAUUGACUCCCUAUUUUAAGAUGGUCUAGAAGAAAAGGACAAAAGCUCUUUACUCAAGCUUGAGCUUAUACAACUCUCAGCCAAUCACUAGCAAAAGACCCAAAAAGCUAUUAACCACAAGCUCCUAUUUCACGGGGCUAGGGACUUCCCUGGAAACUUUACAUAGACUUAAACUCUAACCUAUAGUUACCCCUUCCUCAUUUUAAUGCUAAAAAUCAUGCCCAGAGGUGGAUAUUUAAAAUACGAAUGCUACAUAUCGAUGUAUAAAGACACAUCGUGACCCAUCAUGCAAGCACUAGAAAAACCCUUCCUAUACAUGCUCUGAUAUAACCCUUCCCUACAAUAAGACCCUACAAAAUUAACCCACUCUACUCUGGGGAGCAGCUACUUCCUCUUCCUUGCUUGUUGCUGGUUCCCUGGUGUAUAAGCUGAAUAAACUUAUGUUUGGUAUUGUCUCCUGAUUUCUAUCCUGGGAAAUUGCAAGCACCCAGGGUGUCAUUAGUAAAACCACAAAGAUUUUCCUUUUUAAUGGGUUACUGAAAGGUUUGUAUUUUUAGCUCUUCCAUUUUGGUAUAGGAUCUACACUUAAGUUUGUAAAUGGUAUGAGGUAAGAUUUGAAGUUCAUUAUUUUAAAAUAUGAAUAUCUUAUAUACAGCACUUUUGGUUGAACACAUUGUCAUCCACCCCCAUUAAAUUACCUUGGUCCUUUUGUCAAAAUUCCGUUGACCAUGCAAGUAUGAGUAUAUUCCUGUACCAUAUGUUUCUGAUGCAUUGAUCUAUAUGUUUGCUGAGUGUUAUUAUAUAUUAUUAAUUCCCCAUUGUCUUAAUUACUAAAGUUUCUAUGAAGUUUGAAAGAGAGGAUAAACAACUUUGAAGCCUACGGUUUGAUAAUAUCUUCAAUAUAAUCAUAAACAUAGCUUUAAAUGAUAGAUGAGACAAACUGAACAGAUUUACCCUACCAGUCAAAUACAUCUGAAUAGAUGAAAGAAAGACACAUUUCCAUUUUUAUGGAUGAAGAGCAUAAAAUUAAAGUUGAGGACUUUGGCUAUAAUUUCUCAGAUAGAAAAUUGUUUGUUUAUUCUAACAUCCAGGCUAUUCAGACACCAAAAUUAUAGGAUCAUGAGAAAGGUUAAAUAACAUAAAGAAUGGAACCUAGCAUCCACUUUCCACCAGAUCCCAUAAAUAAAUACAAUGAGGAUAAAAUGUGUUGAAUGGUUUACUAACUUGCAUCAACAUUGAUGUUAUUUUUUCAUACUACAGUUACUACUCACAUUAGAAUAUUAGCUCCUUGAGUGAAGAAACCUUCCUUUUGUUUACCUCUUGCAAGGCUGAAUCCAUAAUACUAGAGCAGAAAUUACCGCCAAUAAUGUUAUUUCAAGCUCCUCACAAAAAAGACAAGCCAUAUUUUCAGAUGUAGAAUGAGGAAGUAUUGACGAAUAACUUGUUAAAAAUUUUAAACCCUAUAAUAAAAACAAACAAAAAAUCAGGGUAAAAUAAUGACUAAAGUGGGUAACUUCAUCCUCUUUAGUUCUAAUUUACAUAACCUGUACAUUAGAAACACCUCUACUUAUAGUAGCCACCUCAUGAGGUGGUUGUGGUGUUAAAUGUGGCAAUUAAUUCAAGUGUUUAAUACAAUGCCUAUAAUCAUAAAUAUUGUUAAGAGUACUUACAUUUGGUAUUAUUAAUUAUCUUUGGUUAUUAUUUAUAGUCAUUGACCAUAAUCACCAAAGGAAAAUCUGUUUCUGUGAAAAAUUUGAAAGGUUGUGGGGAGGUUUGCUAUACUUGGGUUUUGCAGGAACAUGAGCUUCAAUGACAGAAAGCUCUCAAAUGGAAGGUACAAGGACGAGAGGAGAGAAGCACAUUCUCUGAAUGUUAUGCUAAGAGAAGGUUUUGUUUACCCACUUGGCAGGGAAAAAGGAGAAGAACUAUAAAAGGCUUCUUUAUACAUCAUGUUUUUCUCUACCAGAAAUUAGAGAAUUUGGGCUUAAUUUUCUUGCAAAAAAAUAAAAAAUAAUAAACAAUUAUAUAGAAAUGUAAACACAAUCCUCAUCUCCCACACCUGUUCACUAUUUAUGUAUCCUUGAGAGGAUGAAUUAGAACAAAGAGUUGUCAGUACCAUGAUGAGAAAUGCAAAAGAUUGGUGGAGAUUUUUCUCCCACCAGAUGUAUAAAAUGAAGGGUCUUAUAAAUCUUGUUAAGACCACAUUGAGUCAGGGUGCUCUGGUGGCUGAGAUAAUGGUCUUGGAGAAUCCAGCAAUUUUUAUUUCACUGUGAUGUGUUUUUAAAUAAAGUGUACAUGUGACUCAACAAACGAGCUGGUUUCUUUCAUAACUUAGUCCAGAUCUGGUAGAGGUUCCUAAGUAAUUUGGGUUUACAUUGGUCUGUAUAUGUUAUUUCUUCUUGCACCUAACCAGUGUUAUGGAGUCACAUCACACUUCACUACAGCAAGCUACACAGAAAGCCUGGUGGCACUGAGGUCAGCGCCCACACUGCUUGAAAGCUGACUGAGUCUUGGGAUCAGAAUCGUGCUUAGGGCCAGGAAAGCAAGACCUUUUCCUUAGGCCCUGUGCCUCAGGUAUUCCAUAGUUUGAAGAACCCUCCCGAAUAUUUUAUGUCCCCCACCAGUACCUGGGACCAGACUAAUUAAGCAGUGACAUCUAAACGGUACACUCCAAGACCAAACCUGUUUUCCUCAUGAUGCCAGAUAAUAAAUGCACAUACUUGAAUUUAUCAAAUGCCCUCAUUCAUGGCUGAAAACAGCCAAGACCAACAGUGCUCACAGUGCUGAGCCUGGACUGUGACUAAUUUGGUGCCAUCUCCACA